This 253-nucleotide ribosomal RNA is filed under the name uncultured bacterium. Its description in RNAcentral is "partial 16S ribosomal RNA". It matches the Rfam family "Bacterial small subunit ribosomal RNA", at positions 524 to 776 of the family's 1533-position model. The record is from RNAcentral.
UACGGAGGGUGCAAACGUUGCUCGGAAUUAUUGGGCGUAAAGCGCACGUAGGCGGUCUAUCAAGUCGGAUGUGAAAGCCCCGGGCUCAACUCGGGAAGUGCAUUCGAAACUGACAGGCUUGAAUAUGGAAGAGGGUCGCGGAAUUCCCGGUGUAGAGGUGAAAUUCGUAGAUAUCGGGAGGAACACCAGUGGCGAAGGCGGCGACCUGGGCCAAUAUUGACGCUGAGGUGCGAAAGCGUGGGGAGCAAACAGG